ACGUAGGGGGCGAGCGUUGUCCGGAAUGACUGGGCGUAAAGGGCGCGUAGCCGGUUUUUUAAGUCUGGAGUGAAAGUCCUGCUUUCAAGGUGGGAAUUGCUUUGGAGACUGGAAGACUUGAGUGCGGAAGAGGUAAGUGGAAUUCCCAGUGUAGCGGUGAAAUGCGUAGUGAUUGGGAAGAACGCGAGUGGCGAAGGCGAGUUACUGGGCCGUAACUGACGGUGAGGCGCGAAAGCGUGGGGAGAGAACUG
RNAcentral lists this ribosomal RNA (251 nucleotides) under uncultured prokaryote. RNAcentral describes it as "partial 16S rRNA". It matches the Rfam family "Bacterial small subunit ribosomal RNA", at positions 525 to 775 of the family's 1533-position model. The record is from RNAcentral.